GAUGAACGCUGGCGGCGUGCCUAAUACAUGCAAGUCGAGCGAACGGACGAGAAGCUUGCUUCUCUGAUGUUAGCGGCGGACGGGUGCGUAACACGUGGAUAACCUACCUAUAAGACUGGGAUAACUUCGGGAAACCGGAGCUAAUACCGGAUAAUAUUUUGAACCGCAUGGUUCAAAAGUGAAAGACGGUCUUGCUGUCACUUAUAGAUGGAUCCGCGCUGCAUUAGCUAGUUGGUAAGGUAACGGCCUACCAAGGCAACGAUGCAUAGCCGACCUGAGAGGGUGAUCGGCCACACUGGAACUGAGACACGGUCCAGACUCCUACGGGAGGCAGCAGUAGGGAAUCUUCCGCAAUGGGCGAAAGCCUGACGGAGCAACGCCGCGUGAGUGAUGAAGGUCUUCGGAUCGUAAAACUCUGUUAUUAGGGAAGAACAUAUGUGUAAGUAACUGUGCACAUCUUGACGGUACCUAAUCAGAAAGCCACGGCUAACUACGUGCCAGCAGCCGCGGUAAUACGUAGGUGGCAAGCGUUAUCCGGAAUUAUUGGGCGUAAAGCGCGCGUAGGCGGUUUUUUAAGUCUGAUGUGAAAGCCCACGGCUCAACCGUGGAGGGUCAUUGGAAACUGGAAAACUUGAGUGCAGAAGAGGAAAGUGGAAUUCCAUGUGUAGCGGUGAAAUGCGCAGAGAUAUGGAGGAACACCAGUGGCGAAGGCGACUUUCUGGUCUGUAACUGACGCUGAUGUGCGAAAGCGUGGGGAUCAAACAGGAUUAGAUACCCUGGUAGUCCACGCCGUAAACGAUGAGUGCUAAGUGUUAGGGGGUUUCCGCCCCUUAGUGCUGCAGCUAACGCAUUAAGCACUCCGCCUGGGGAGUACGACCGCAAGGUUGAAACUCAAAGGAAUUGACGGGGACCCGCACAAGCGGUGGAGCAUGUGGUUUAAUUCGAAGCAACGCGAAGAACCUUACCAAAUCUUGACAUCCUUUGACAACUCUAGAGAUAGAGCCUUCCCCUUCGGGGGACAAAGUGACAGGUGGUGCAUGGUUGUCGUCAGCUCGUGUCGUGAGAUGUUGGGUUAAGUCCCGCAACGAGCGCAACCCUUAAGCUUAGUUGCCAUCAUUAAGUUGGGCACUCUAAGUUGACUGCCGGUGACAAACCGGAGGAAGGUGGGGAUGACGUCAAAUCAUCAUGCCCCUUAUGAUUUGGGCUACACACGUGCUACAAUGGACAAUACAAAGGGCAGCGAAACCGCGAGGUCAAGCAAAUCCCAUAAAGUUGUUCUCAGUUCGGAUUGUAGUCUGCAACUCGACUACAUGAAGCUGGAAUCGCUAGUAAUCGUAGAUCAGCAUGCUACGGUGAAUACGUUCCCGGGUCU
RNAcentral lists this ribosomal RNA (1372 nucleotides) under uncultured bacterium. RNAcentral describes it as "bacterial SSU rRNA". It matches the Rfam family "Bacterial small subunit ribosomal RNA", at positions 28 to 1381 of the family's 1533-position model. The record is from RNAcentral.